Molecule: ribosomal RNA, 712 nt
Filed under: Vibrio rotiferianus
Lineage: Bacteria; Pseudomonadati; Pseudomonadota; Gammaproteobacteria; Vibrionales; Vibrionaceae
Description: bacterial SSU rRNA
Rfam family: Bacterial small subunit ribosomal RNA
Source: RNAcentral
AUGGCAGUCUACACAUGCAGUCGAGCGGAACGAGUUGUCUGAACCUUCGGGGAACGAUAACGGCGUCGAGCGGCGGACGGGUGAGUAAUGCCUAGGAAAUUGCCCUGAUGUGGGGGAUAACCAUUGGAAACGAUGGCUAAUACCGCAUAAUGCCUACGGGCCAAAGAGGGGGACCUUCGGGCCUCUCGCGUCAGGAUAUGCCUAGGUGGGAUUAGCUAGUUGGUGAGGUAAUGGCUCACCAAGGCGACGAUCCCUAGCUGGUCUGAGAGGAUGAUCAGCCACACUGGAACUGAGACACGGUCCAGACUCCUACGGGAGGCAGCAGUGGGGAAUAUUGCACAAUGGGCGCAAGCCUGAUGCAGCCAUGCCGCGUGUGUGAAGAAGGCCUUCGGGUUGUAAAGCACUUUCAGUCGUGAGGAAGGUAGUGUAGUUAAUAGCUGCAUUACUUGACGUUAGCGACAGAAGAAGCACCGGCUAACUCCGUGCCAGCAGCCGCGGUAAUACGGAGGGUGCGAGCGUUAAUCGGAAUUACUGGGCGUAAAGCGCAUGCAGGUGGUUUGUUAAGUCAGAUGUGAAAGCCCGGGGCUCAACCUCGGAAUAGCAUUUGAAACUGGCAGACUAUAGUACUGUAGAGGGGGGUAGAAUUUCAGGUGUAGCGGUGAAUGCGUUGAUUACUGAUGGAAUACCGGAGUCCAAGGAUUUCUCCUGGACA